This 444-nucleotide ribosomal RNA is filed under the name Orsinome sp. FAPDNA052. RNAcentral's name for it is "partial 16S ribosomal RNA". It matches the Rfam family "Bacterial large subunit ribosomal RNA", at positions 1830 to 2600 of the family's 2925-position model. The record is from RNAcentral. Lineage: Eukaryota; Metazoa; Arthropoda; Arachnida; Araneae; Tetragnathidae.
UUUCUUUAAGAAUUUACUUAAAGUAAAACCUGCCCAAUGAAAAUUAAAAGGCCGCAGUAUUUUAACUGUGCUAAGGUAGCAUAAUCAUUUGUCUUUUAAUUAAAGACUGGAAUGAAGGGUCUAACAUUUCUUAAACUAUUUUUUAAAUAAAAAUAAAACUUAUACUAAAUAUAAAAAUAUAUUUAUACAUAAAUAAGACGACAAGACCCUAUCAAACUUUACUUAAGUUUAGCUGGGGAGGCUCGUUAAAAAUUAUCUUAAAAAAAUAUAAUAAAUAGACCCAAUAAAAAUUGAUUAAAUGACCAAGUUACUGUAGGGAUAACAGCAUAAUGAGUUUUAAAAGUUCAUAUUUAAAAAUUAGCUUAUGACCUCGAUGUUGAAUUAUUUUAACUUUUAGGCGCAAGAGUCUAAAAAGUAGGUCUGUUCGACCUUUAAAUUUUUACA